UAACUAAAGUGACUUGUGUGGCAGCAAAGGCAUUAAUGAAUGAAGUGUUUGAGCCUGUGUGAUUGACUGUGUUGUUCUGUUGUCUCUCUCACUUACACACACACACACACCAUCAUUUGUUGUUAACCAUUGUUGUUAUUAAAUAUGUGAACCCUAGAGACCUUAUGUUCUGUAUAAUAAAAACUAUGUGAAUAAAUUUAGUUGAAACUCAAAAUUUGUCUCAAGUCAGUUUAAUCGUGUGUUAGUUUUUCAGCCUUUUGAUAUCAACUGCCAAAAUGAGUUUUUUAAAAAAUAUAUAUAGUUUACACUAAUUGUCUUGUCGUGACGGUUAAAAUGAUUCCAUUCAUUGUAAUCUACAAUGUUGUCUAAUUGUUUUGUAUACUAAAAUGUCACACAUUUCAGAGACAAAUUUGAAAUAGAACAAAUUCACUCAAUCAAAUUGUUUUGUAUUAACAUUUUUAAAUAUAUAUAUAUAUGCUUCAUUUGGAUAGAAAUUUUUAUCACUGGAACGUCCAUUGAAAUUUCUCAGAUAUUGCUUGUACAACCAAUUAAGUUGGCACCAAUGUUUUUUGUAUUUGUAUACUAGCGUUUGACAGUUUAAAAUGUACAAAUUGACAGCAAGGUCAAGAGUUAUGUGACAUAAACCAAACAAGGCAGACAUGAACUAGUACUAGUCAUUCAUGAUAUUAGUGUUAUCAAGCAGUGUUAGCUUCCUUUGUUAGACAAAAGUGUUUGCUAGGUACCUGUAGGAUGUGUGCUUUAUUUAGAUGUUAGCCAACACAUUUUGUUCUCUCUGUAAUUGAUGUGAGGAGCUCAUGGACUUGAUGUUCAAUAAACAAUAUGAAUGAA
Biomphalaria pfeifferi is the source of this 849-nucleotide non-coding RNA. The record is from the annotation of a GenBank genome assembly. Lineage: Eukaryota; Metazoa; Mollusca; Gastropoda; Planorbidae.